UUCUAUCUCGGCGAGUCGGUGCGCAAC
RNAcentral lists this non-coding RNA (27 nucleotides) under Bombyx mori (domestic silkworm). Lineage: Eukaryota; Metazoa; Arthropoda; Insecta; Lepidoptera; Bombycidae. The record is from RNAcentral.